This 301-nucleotide ribosomal RNA is filed under the name uncultured bacterium. RNAcentral's name for it is "partial 16S ribosomal RNA". It matches the Rfam family "Bacterial small subunit ribosomal RNA", at positions 509 to 807 of the family's 1533-position model. The record is from RNAcentral.
CAGUAGCCGCGGUAAUACAGAGGGUGCAAGCGUUAAUCGGAAUUACUGGGCGUAAAGCGCGCGUAGGUGGUUUGUUAAGUUGGAUGUGAAAUCCCCGGGCUCAACCUGGGAACUGCAUCCAAAACUGGCAAGCUAGAGUAUGGUAGAGGGUGGUGGAAUUUCCUGUGUAGCGGUGAAAUGCGUAGAUAUAGGAAGGAACACCAGUGGCGAAGGCGACCACCUGGACUGAUACUGACACUGAGGUGCGAAAGCGUGGGGAGCAAACAGGAUUAGAUACCCCUGUAGUCCCUGUUUCUUAUAC